This 77-nucleotide transfer RNA is filed under the name Candidatus Odinarchaeota archaeon. RNAcentral describes it as "tRNA-Met". It matches the Rfam family "tRNA". Rfam says of the family: Transfer RNA (tRNA) molecules are approximately 80 nucleotides in length. Their secondary structure includes four short double-helical elements and three loops (D, anti-codon, and T loops). Further hydrogen bonds mediate the characteristic L-shaped molecular structure. tRNAs have two regions of fundamental functional importance: the anti-codon, which is responsible for specific mRNA codon recognition, and the 3' end, to which the tRNAs corresponding amino acid is attached (by aminoacyl-tRNA synthetases). tRNAs cope with the degeneracy of the genetic code in two manners: having more than one tRNA (with a specific anti-codon) for a particular amino acid; and 'wobble' base-pairing, i.e. permitting non-standard base-pairing at the 3rd anti-codon position. Lineage: Archaea; Promethearchaeati; Candidatus Odinarchaeota. RNAcentral also lists the same sequence under 2 other names. The record is from RNAcentral.
GGGCCCGUAGCUCAGCUUGGUAGAGCAGCAGGCUCAUAACCUGUAGGUCGGGCGUUCAAGUCGCCCCGGGCCCACCA